RNAcentral lists this ribosomal RNA (559 nucleotides) under uncultured bacterium. RNAcentral's name for it is "bacterial SSU rRNA". It matches the Rfam family "Bacterial small subunit ribosomal RNA", at positions 337 to 916 of the family's 1533-position model. The record is from RNAcentral.
UCCUACGGGAGGCAGCAGUGGGGAAUCUUGCACAAUGGAGGAAACUCUGAUGCAGCGAUGCCGCGUGAGUGAAGAAGGCCUUUGGGUUGUAAAGCUCUUUCGUCGGGGAAGAAAAUGACUGUACCCGAAUAAGAAGGUCCGGCUAACUUCGUGCCAGCAGCCGCGGUAAUACGAAGGGACCUAGCGUAGUUCGGAAUUACUGGGCUUAAAGAGUUCGUAGGUGGUUGAAAAAGUUGGUGGUGAAAUCCCAGAGCUUAACUCUGGAACUGCCAUCAAAACUUUUCAGCUAGAGUUUGAUAGAGGAAAGCAGAAUUUCUAGUGUAGAGGUGAAAUUCGUAGAUAUUAGAAAGAAUACCAAUUGCGAAGGCAGCUUUCUGGAUCAUUACUGACACUGAGGAACGAAAGCAUGGGUAGCGAAGAGGAUUAGAUACCCUCGUAGUCCAUGCCGUAAACGAUGUGUGUUAGACGUUGGAAAUUUAUUUUCAGUGUCGCAGCGAAAGCAAUAAACGCACCGCCUGGGGAGUACGACCGCAAGGUUAAAACUCAAAUGAAUUGACGG